Molecule: ribosomal RNA, 740 nt
Filed under: Skeletonema marinoi
Lineage: Eukaryota; Bacillariophyta; Thalassiosirophyceae; Thalassiosirales; Thalassiosiraceae
Description: eukaryotic LSU rRNA
Rfam family: 5.8S ribosomal RNA (bases 276-429)
Source: RNAcentral
UCGUAACAAAGGUUUCCGUAGGUGAACCUGCGGAAGGAUCAUUAUCACACUAUCCAAACCUUUACUUCCCCGAGAAGAGGUGCCCGAAGCCUGCUGCCGAUACACUGGUAGCGAGCCUCGAGUGCCAAACUUAUAAAAACCAAAACCAGGUGCCAAAGCAGGCCCCAGCUUCGGCUGGUUGGCUAGCUGCGGUGCCGCCCAUUACCGAACUGAAACUGUAACUGAACAUAAACUGCUUUUGGAGAUUCGUCUCUUCUAGCUGUAAAAUCUAUUACAACUUUUAGCAAUGGAUGUCUUGGGUCACACAACGAUGAAGAACGCAGCGAAAUGCGAUACGUAAUGCGAAUUGCAGAACUUCGUGAAUCAUCAAAAUUUUGAACGCACAUUGCGCUACUGAGUAAUCUCAGUAGCAUGCUUAUCUGAGUGUCUCUAAACCCCACUCAGCCGCUGCUGCACUUUACUGUGCUAGCAACGCGCUGGACUGUGAUAGUGUUUGGCAUAUGUCGAACUCCAUUCAAGUUCAUUGGUUUGUUGUUGACGCCCUUGCUGGCCGAACGCGAAUCGCAACUAGAUUUGGUAGGUGCACUUAUGUGUAUUUUGAAUCUGGCUUGUGAGUUGCCGAGGCUUACGAGAGCAUCUCCAGCGAAUUGGGCUACCAGCACUGCUGGCCUGCCCGGAAUGAAUGUACCUCAUCUAUGGAUCUCAGAUUAAGUAAGUUUACCCGCUGAACUUAAGCAUAU